RNAcentral lists this long non-coding RNA (517 nucleotides) under Sander lucioperca (pikeperch). Its description in RNAcentral is "lncRNA (ENSSLUG00000005320.1)". Lineage: Eukaryota; Metazoa; Chordata; Actinopteri; Perciformes; Percidae. The record is from RNAcentral.
CAGACGCCUCCCCGAAACCUCGCACCGGCUCGGGGAAGGAGGAGGAGGAGGAGGAAGAGGAGGAGGAAGAGGAGGAGGAGGAGGAGGAGGAAGGAGUGGUGAGCUGGGCCACCGUCCGGAUGCUGGGAGACCGACAGAGACAGAGAGCUACUAACGAAGAAGACGAGGUGUUCAGUCUGCUGCUGCAGGGGCCGUUGGUGCGGUCGGACUCCCGCGGCGGCCUGAAGUCUCCGAUCUCCCUCGACAGUCCCCGCCGACCGUCGGAGAGCAACCUCGACUCGUUCAGCCGCCACUUUGAGAGCAUCAUGGAGUCCCACCGGGCCAAAGGAACGUCCUACAGCAGCCUGGACAGCGUCGACCUGCUGACAUCUGGGUCCACGUCCGUCUUCACCUUCGACCUGCCGACCCUCACGCCAGAGAUCCAGAGUCAGAUCUGCGACAGCGCCAAGCAGAUCAUCGAGCUGAGCUUCGCCCCGCUGGCCCACCCGGACCCGGCCACCCUCUCGGAGACGUCGCG